Molecule: ribosomal RNA, 497 nt
Filed under: uncultured bacterium
Lineage: Bacteria
Description: partial 16S ribosomal RNA
Rfam family: Bacterial small subunit ribosomal RNA
Source: RNAcentral
GACGAACGCUGGCGGCGCGCCUAAUACAUGCAAGUUGAGCGCUGAAGGUUGGUACUUGUACCAACUGGAUGAGCAGCGAACGGGUGAGUAACGCGUGGGGAAUCUGCCUUUGAGCGGGGGACAACAUUUGGAAACGAAUGCUAAUACCGCAUAAAAACUUUAAACACAAGUUUUAAGUUUGAAAGAUGCAAUUGCAUCACUCAAAGAUGAUCCCGCGUUGUAUUAGCUAGUUGGUGAGGUAAAGGCUCACCAAGGCGAUGAUACAUAGCCGACCUGAGAGGGUGAUCGGCCACAUUGGGACUGAGACACGGCCCAAACUCCUACGGGAGGCAGCAGUAGGGAAUCUUCGGCAAUGGACGAAAGUCUGACCGAGCAACGCCGCGUGAGUGAAGAAGGUUUUCGGAUCGUAAAACUCUGUUGGUAGAGAAGAACGUUGGUGAGAGUGGAAAGCUCAUCAAGUGACGGUAACUACCCAGAAAGGGACGGCUAACUACGUG